Long non-coding RNA from Panthera uncia (snow leopard), 1853 nucleotides. RefSeq lists it as uncharacterized. The transcript has 3 exons. The record is from RefSeq and is a predicted model, not a curated record. Lineage: Eukaryota; Metazoa; Chordata; Mammalia; Carnivora; Felidae.
AUUGAAGGCAAUGGAAACUGAUGGGUGCUGAAGAUAAAAGAGCAGUGUUGACCUUUUGGUAAAUCAUUCAUCAUACUGCUUCAUCUUCACUUGCAGUGUCGACCAAUAUCCAGAUAUUACCUACACUCGCCUAUCUGCUUGAACCAGAGAUUCCUGCACUGGGUUGUGUGGACGCUCAUUUUUUUAAACGCCUGUCUCCUUUGCCUGGCAAGGUAAAAAAGACACAUAAAAACUCAUUUGAUGUCUCUAGAUUUUUUAAUAGGUUUAAGCAACUUUCUUAUUUGCCAUUUGAAUAUGAAAGACUUCAAAUAUCAAAAAUUUAAUAUAUACCUUGAAAAGAAGCUUAUGUGUGUCAUUGACUGCCUAGUUGAUAAAAUGACUUUGGUUAUGGAGAAUACUCACAGUGUAUGAAUGAAAACUCCUGAUUUGGGUGUUAUUUGGGCCAAGCUAGAAGAGAAGUCACAUUCUGAAUUAUUUUUUUCUCUGGUGGGAGAUCAAUACUGUCUAGACAUGGUCUCAUUAUGACUUUGCAUUGACUAGGGCAGACUCGGUCAACAGUGGGGCUGAGAUUCCUGUAAUCCAAGCUGCUGGUGGGAAAUUUGUGUUGCCCCUUAUUACAGAGACCUUCAGAUUCACUGGUGUCAACUCUGUGUAUCCCAGCAUCAUCCCGCUCAACUGUAGGGUUAUCCUAGAGGAUAGCAUAUGCCAACUCCUGACUUUUUAGAAAGACUCUGAAUCCUUGAAGUCUUGGGAGCUGCUCUCUAGGAUUUCCUAGCAUGCUUGGUGACAGUUGCAUAGGGCAUGAGAGGAACCUUGGAGCUUUUGAAUUCUCUGUGGUUUCUAAAACUUUUAAAACCAGAGAUAGUAAUACCACUCAUAUGUAAAGGCCUUGGUCCACUUCUGCAAGCCCAGCUAUAUUCCCUGUCAUACAGAUGCCUCCACAUUAAUUUCUGCAAAUAAUAUCUUCAUGUAUGGAAAUGUCACCAGUUUUAUAUUCAGAUUAACUCUCAUUUAUGAGAAAUUUUCAUCUAUUUGAAUAUAUUUUUAAAUUGGGAAGUUUAUGACUCCUCUCUUAGGAUCAGAACUUAAAAAUCAUGUCUUUUCUCUGUUAGAUAUUCAGACUCCUGGCCGUGCUGCUCUGCAUGGAAUCUUAAAUCCUUCAUUUGUGGUUAUUUGUUGGCAUUUUGCAAGAGAGUGAAGCAAUGUCUGAGCCAGUAGAGGCCAGAGGUGGCCCAGCCUGACUGGGUUUUCAAUAGUGCAAUAAAUGUUAUUUGUCUAGCAUCUUUACUUUUAAACUUUGGGAAGGAUUAUCAUAGACAUUGAGAAAUAAUGCUGAUUAUACAAAGGAUUGCUCAUGAUAAAAGAUCUCUUUCUGGAAAUUUAAGUGUUCUAGUAGAUUAGCAUUAUUGAUCAUUCUCUUUCCACAUAGUCUACAGAUGAUCUUAGAAUCCUGAAACUAUUAUUCUUCCUUGUCUAGUGUAAUUAUCAGAACAAGGAAUAAUCUAAUUAAAAGACAACAAGGAUGUGUUCUAAUUGUUCUAAUAAAUUAUGUUAAUACUCAGUGCAUUUAGUAACUUUUCAACAGGAAUUUAUUUAAUGGGUUGACAGCUUGUCCUUUACCGCCACAAUCUUAACUUUCAUUUCUUCUAAACAAGACCAGUUACAGUAGGAUAGUUAACUGUCCAAAAAUCUGUUGGGUCAUUAGGAGAAUCUAAGGUUCCAUAUAGUAUGUAUGGAUGAAAAAAUGGGUUUGGAGUUUCCUAGAUAAAAUAAUGACCCAACACAGAAGAGGGUAGAGUAAUGACCAGUAGAGUUUAAAGUAAAAAUCUGCAACUGACAGUUUCAAUGAAGAC